GUGUCAGCAGCCGCGGUAAUACGUAGGGGGCAAGCGUUGUCCGGAUUCAUUGGGCGUAAAGAGCGUGUAGGCGGCCAGGUAGGUCGGUUGUGAAAACUGGAGGCUCAACCUUCAGAGGUCGACCGAAACCAUCUGGCUAGAGUCCGGGAGAGGAGAGUGGAAUUCCUGGUGUAGCGGUGAAAUGCGCAGAUAUCAGGAAGAACACCCGUGGCGAAAGCGGCUCUCUGGAACGGUACUGACGCUGAGACGCGAAAGCGUGGGGAGCGAACAGGAUUAGAUACCCCCGUAGUCC
This 292-nucleotide ribosomal RNA is filed under the name uncultured bacterium. RNAcentral's name for it is "partial 16S ribosomal RNA". It matches the Rfam family "Bacterial small subunit ribosomal RNA", at positions 505 to 796 of the family's 1533-position model. The record is from RNAcentral.